UGCUCGGUGGUCUAGGGGUAUGAUUCUCGCUCAGGGUGCGAGAGGCCCCGUGUUCAAUUCCAGGUCGAGCCCAA
This is a non-coding RNA of Trichonephila clavipes, 74 nucleotides long. The record is from the annotation of a GenBank genome assembly. NCBI's taxonomy places the organism in Eukaryota, Metazoa, Arthropoda, Arachnida, Araneae, Nephilidae.